UCCCGUUUAGCUCAGUUGGUAGAGCGCGUCACUAGUACCGAGUUGCUCUCCGAGUGCAAUGAUGUGGCUAUGACGAGGUCAGUCGUUCGAGUCGGCUAAUGGGAA
Trametes elegans is the source of this 105-nucleotide non-coding RNA. The record is from the annotation of a GenBank genome assembly. Lineage: Eukaryota; Fungi; Basidiomycota; Agaricomycetes; Polyporales; Polyporaceae.